GACGAACGCUGGCGGCGUGCUUAACACAUGCAAGUCGAACGGAAAGGCCCUGCUUGCAGGGUACUCGAGUGGCGAACGGGUGAGUAACACGUGGGUGAUCUGCCCUGCACUUCGGGAUAAGCCUGGGAAACUGGGUCUAAUACCGGAUAGGAGCCAUUUUUAGGGUGAUGGUUGGAAAGUUUUUUCGGUGUAGGAUGAGCUCGCGGCCUAUCAGCUUGUUGGUGGGGUAAUGGCCUACCAAGGCGGCGACGGGUAGCCGGCCUGAGAGGGUGGACGGCCACAUUGGGGCUGAGAUACGGCCCAGACUCCUACGGGAGGCAGCAGUGGGGAAUAUUGCACAAUGGGCGCAAGCCUGAUGCCGCGACGCCGCGUGGGGGAUGACGGCCUUCGGGUUGUAAACUCCUUUCGCUAGGGACGAAGCUUUUUGUGACGGUACCUAGAUAAGAAGCACCGGCUAACUACGUG
This 465-nucleotide ribosomal RNA is filed under the name uncultured bacterium. Its description in RNAcentral is "partial 16S ribosomal RNA". It matches the Rfam family "Bacterial small subunit ribosomal RNA", at positions 28 to 507 of the family's 1533-position model. The record is from RNAcentral.